AUGUCAUCUGAUGACGAAAACGAUUUCAUUAUGUGUGAAGACCGCGAAGACCAACGCGGCCUGUGCUACAAAAAUUUGCUAGUUGAUGAUAGGCGCUUCAGCAUCAAGAUGGAUGAGACCUUCAAAGUGGAUACACAUAUCCCCUGCCAUGCAAGAAUUUUUGUCUUGGAUAAGAUAGGUUUCAGUCCUAACAAAACUAUGGAGGUAAAGAGAGUUUACUUGAAGACCGACUAUCGUUAUACCUUCAACGUCAAAGUAUACAAUCAAGACACCUACACCCAUUUUGAAUACAAAACUUGGCAAGCACUAUGCAAGGCUUAUGCAUUUGAGCCUGAUAUGUUUACCACCUUGAUAUUCGUCCCGAAGAUGAUAUUGAAGCUUAUUUUCAUUCAAGCAAACAUGUCCAGCGCUUGGUAG
This 417-nucleotide ribosomal RNA is filed under the name Triticum aestivum (bread wheat). Its description in RNAcentral is "partial small subunit ribosomal RNA". Lineage: Eukaryota; Viridiplantae; Streptophyta; Magnoliopsida; Poales; Poaceae. The record is from RNAcentral.